This 916-nucleotide ribosomal RNA is filed under the name uncultured bacterium. RNAcentral's name for it is "bacterial SSU rRNA". It matches the Rfam family "Bacterial small subunit ribosomal RNA", at positions 8 to 958 of the family's 1533-position model. The record is from RNAcentral.
AGAGUUUGAUCCUGGCUCAGAAUCAACGCUGGCGGCGCGCCUAACACAUGCAAGUCGAACGAGAAAGUGGAGCAAUCCAUGAGUACAGUGGCGUACGGGUGAGUAACACGUGGGUAAUCUACCUUUUAGUGAGGAAUAACCAAGGGAAACUUUGGCUAAUACCGCAUAAGCCUGAGAAGGGAAAGUCGCAAGACGCUGAAAGAGGAGCCCGCGGCCGAUUAGCUAGUUGGUGGGGUAAGAGCCCACCAAGGCAGAGAUCGGUAGCCGGCCUGAGAGGGCACACGGCCACACUGGCACUGAAACACGGGCCAGACUCCUACGGGAGGCAGCAGUGGGGAAUCUUGCACAAUGGGGGAAACCCUGAUGCAGCGACGCCGCGUGAGCGAUGAAGCCCUUCGGGGUGUAAAGCUCUUUCGUCAGGGAAGAUAGUGACGGUACCUGGAGAAGCAGCUGCGGCUAACUACGUGCCAGCAGCCGCGGUAAUACGUAGGCAGCAAGCGUUGUUCGGAGUUACUGGGCGUAAAGGGUGUGUAGGCGGUUCUUUAAGUUUGAUGUGAAAUCUCCCGGCUUAACCGGGAGGGUGCGCCGAAUACUGAGGGACUAGAGUACGGGAGAGGAAAGUGGAAUUCCUGGUGUAGCGGUGAAAUGCGUAGAUAUCAGGAGGAACACCGGUGGUGUAGACGGCUUUCUGGACCGUAACUGACGCUGAUACACGAAAGCGUGGGUAGCAAACAGGAUUAGAUACCCUGGUAGUCCACGCCCUAAACGAUGCAUAUUUGGUGUGGGCAGUUCAUUCUGUCCGUGCCGGAGCUAACGCGUUAAAUAUGCCGCCUGGGGAGUACAGUCGCAAGGCUGAAACUCAAAGGAAUUGACGGGGCCCGCACAAGCGGUGGAGCAUGUGGUUCAAUUCGACGCA